GCCAAAAAGACCAUUCCAAUUAAUUUAUUUUUUUUUACAGAAAAAAAAUAUAUAUAUAUAAUUAAAUGCAUAAAUAUAUCCUCUGUUGGCAGCUCCUCCUCAUAAAUAUAAUCUGCUCGCUCACACAUCCUUCAAAUUUAGACCCCUAAGAGGGAGGGAGGAUUCUCCGUCAGCUGUAUGAACACUUUUAUCAUGGUGUUUGCUCUGUUCUGUCUACAGCAGCAGCAACAGGGCAACUUCAGCUCUUAUUUUUAAUGAAGAGACGGAGAUAGUGCACAGAUGUUGGUAAUUAAAAUCUCAGCUCUAACAAGGAAGGAAGGACAGAUGGAGAGAGAGAUUCACCAACCAGCUAGCUGCAUGAUUCCUGCUGAUUAAAUUCUCCAGAACCAGUAUCCAAAGAAUAAAAGUGAAUUGGAGGAUGAGAUUCAUGCCUUGAGCAGCCUGUUGCAGGUACCAAUGAACAGAGGCAGAUGUCGGUGGUAUGGCAGCAGAGGCUGGACCUUCCCAACCAAUUCCAUUACAUCCCAUUGCCGUGUGACAGAUGGCAGCAGAGGGGCAGUCUGACACAAUAGCAUCUGACAUGGGAGUGCACAUGAAGCAAAGCAGUAACUGAGCAAAAUCAGUAGAAAUUCUGAGUGUGAACAGCUGCUGCAGAAGGCAGUGGGAAUUAUGAAGAUUCAGCAUCCAUCACCACUCAGAAAUAUGGUGGACAGAAUGGCUGCAAAGUCCCUAGCUAUGCCACUUGUCUUCACUGAGAAUGAUGAAAGAAGUCCACAAAAUAAGCCACAAGACCAGAAGAGAAAAGAUUUUGGAAGGAAGAGCAAAAACCCUAGACCGUGAUAGAACAGAGUCAUCUGGCUGCAAGGAAGCACUGAAGCUGUUUCCAGCAGGCUUGUUACUGCAGAGACUGAUCAGGUUCUCAGAGAUAAAAAAUCCACGGGACAAAACCAAUAUAAGGCAUUUUUUUCAGCUGAGUGCCAGAGAGAUGUGAAAAGAAACGCACAUCAUCAUCUACAAGCCAAACUGACUCCCUUCAGUGUUACAAAUUGGUACUAAUGCAGAACCUGGGCAUUAAAUAAAUGAAAAUUGGACAGUACAAGCCUGAGGAUACAAUGUCCCCGUACUGAAGAAGCCAAGAAAAACUCUUAUUGACUUCAACAAGCUCUACAUCUGAUCUUUGGCCUACACUGUGCAAGAAAGUACAUAUAAAUUAUACAAUCAGUACAGUGUCUGUCAUAAUUACAUUUAUGCUAUCAGUUUGAGUUAUUGAACAAAUAUGGGAACUGACUGCAUGCAAAGGCCCAGGCUCAUCUUACUCCAUCCACAGCAAGAAUUUUGCCUGAAUAUGAUACCUGGGCUCAAAACUAAUAUUGCUAACUCUGAUUCAAUGUUGCAUUAGUGUUCUUCUUGAAGCCUCAGAUACUCUAACAAGUCGGAUGUUAUGAAAUACUAAUCUGUAACACAGCAUGUUUCUCCCUAUCGUGGGCUUCCUGAAAGCCUUCAAUAUGGAAAUGAGGCACUUAAAAGGCAAACACUGCAUCCACCGUGUGCCAGAGAUUUUGUUUCUUCUUCUUCUUCUUCUUCUUUUUUUUUUUUUUUUUCUUUCUGUCUGGUUUGAAAGCCAUCCUGAGAGCUUUCCUUGAGCCAAUGCCAAUUUUCAGUUUUCAGAUAUCCCUUAUGCCGAUAAAGCCAUGAUGAUACCAGAAGAAGGGGAUUCACAAAUAUUGUGUGAUUUUAUAUCUUUAUCAGUGUCUUUCAAUGGAAAUAUGACAUCACUACUGCUAGUGGUAACUGAUAUCAGAAACCAAGCUUUCUGAGUAUGUAAGAUAUUUUUGUUCUCUUACAAAAAUACAGGCUUGCCUGUUUAUUACAAAGUCUGCUUCUAAAUUGUUUCUAACAAAAUCACUAACUGUGUAAAUAAAAACACCUUAUUAAAAUUGACUAAUCUAUAACAGGAAUAGGUAUCCAUUUUCUUUCUUUUAAUUGCCAUCAGUUUCAGAAAUAACAAACACCUCUCACAUCUCUAUUCUUACCCACCUUACAGAAGUGACAACCUCAGAAGCUGCCAACGUAGUUGCAUUAAGGUAUAUGUGUAAUUUUGCAUAGUAGGAAAAAAUAUUAAGCUUCCCGACACAUUUUGUGUAAGCUUUUCAAAUAUAGUAAGCUAAAAACAAAAUCUCAGCCCUUGACCUGUUGAGUGUUAACAAAAUUCCAUCUGGUCACUUAGGAGCUGUGCCAACAUUACCACACAAAGAGCCUUUGAGCCAUUUGAAUGUUCAAGAGUCAUUUGACAGCUUUUUUAUUUAUCCCCUCUUUUUUUCUUUUUCUUUUUUGUCAGAUACACACCUAAUAACAUACUACAGAUGGCUAGGUUCUAACAAGUUUACUUGCAUGUAAGCUUGAAACUACCCUUGAAAGUAAACUGCUGAGUUUUUGCUUUGGGUUGUUGGUUGGGUUUAUGUAUUUUUUCUAACGUUUAGGAUUGUUCAGUCUACUGCUGCUCCGAUUUCCUUUUUAGGCAAAACAAAAGUGAAAGUGAAGACCUGGUGCAUGGCUGUUCUAAAAAUGUGAACAUAAUAAGACCGCUCAGCCUGCUCGAGGCCAACAGAAUGGGAGUGCGUAGUAAAAAUGUCACAAUAGGCAACAAGUUAAACAAAUGUCAGAUAUCUUCAUGGGGAAACAAAUCUCACUCCGAAGUGAGAGAGAUUUCAGUUACAGAUGAGUACUUCACUCAGUACGCGUUAAGUGCGUAUCUUUUAGUGCCAAAAUCAGUUAUUGAUUUAUUCCUUAAUCACUGUGCUAAAAUAUGUGCAUUAAAUAGUGAGAAAUAAAUUCCGCACUGUAAUCUAUAUUCAAAUCUAUGUUGGAAAAACAAAUUUGGCUUGAGGGGAAAAAAAAGAAGUAAAUAAACAGAAAUUUUGAGCCACCUGAUCUAGCUUCAGGGUUAGUCCUGCUUGACCUCCCAUAUCCCUAGUGACCUGCUUUUUCAUGUGAUGCUCUGAGUCCAACUGAUAAGGUUGUAUGCACCACCCAUACACAAAAAUGAGCUGCCUGGCCUGUAUACAGACUUCAACACGAAACAACUAGUAAAGCAACCAUAGAAUAGCUGAAUCAUAGAAUGGCCUGGGUUGAAAAGGACCUCAAAGAUCAUCUAGUUUCAAUCCCCUUGCCGUGGGCAGAGUUACCGACCACUAGAGCAGGCUGCCGAGAGCCACAUUCAGCCUGGCCUUGAAUGCAUCCAGGGAUGGGGCACCCACAACCUCCUUGUGCAACCUGUUCCAGUGAGUGGUUGAGGAGGAGUCAAAACAUCGCAAGACUGGAAGAUGUAAUCUAGGCCAUCCACUCUAGCACAAUAUCCAGUCAAGAGACAAGUAAAGCAAUACCUAGUGCUCCACUAGACUCUUAGCUAGAAGAUCACUGGUCUGGGAUUUGAGAAAUACAGAGUGAGAAAAAAAACCUAUUUUAGUUAUAAGCAGUGAUUUAGUAACACGCAUUCCUAUCCCUCAACACCUUUUAACUUAAUCAAGCACAGACUCUUUAAAUCAGUGGGAUUAAUUUAUGUCUUAAAUCUCUGUAGGAUAAGGAUCCAGGAAGGCCUGAUUCUGCCACUACUUAGAUGUUAGCAACUUUAUCAUUCUUACUGGAGUGCUUUGUAAAUUGUCUUCCACACAUGUAUAAACAGUUGGAGGUCCUAAUAUAAAUCAAAUACAAAAGGGAACAGGACUUGUAAAAGUGUAGAAUAAUUUUUUACUGUUGUUUUAAUUAAUUUGUAGCCAAUUGAAAAAAAACAGUUUUGGAAAGGAUUUGGAAUAGAUCUUCAGUUUUGACAUUCUUUUCUGCCUUUGGCUGUUGACUUAACUAGAUCUACCUACUCUAAUUUUCUUCAAAGCCAUCAAAUAUAUGAUAAGGACACAAAGAAUAUUCUGCUACAGAAAAUAAAACAGCCCAAGAAGUGAUAAAACAGUGACUAAUCUAGGAAAUGCUCUGAGGCUUUAAGGAAAGGCUAUUAGAGGCUGAAUAGCAGGGCAUAAUGAUCUUUCUGUAUGUUCUAUAAUUACUCAGCGCUACAUUUUUAGAGAUAUCUUCACAUCUUAUGCUGAGGUUGUUUUUAAAAAUUAGCAAUUAACGUAAUCUGCUUUGGUACUCAUGGUCAGAAAUCUUAAAUUUUAAUCUACUAAUACCUUUUCUUUGUUUUGCUAUAGUACUUUUGCACGUGAUUACUGGAUACAGAGGGUACUAGCCUACAAAUGCUCGCCAUCCUAGAAGAAAGUCUGGAUCCGGAGCAUCUUUCUAAACAGAAUGCAUAGGAUAUACGGCAUCAAUAAAGCACUGCACUGAUAGGAUCAGCUCAGAUACACUCUAGAGGAAAAGGAUUCAACUGAGUUUUCACGUAAGGCUGACACAAACCUGGAGAUGAAUCAGACGGCAAAAUUAAAACGGUGAGCAAAAUGCUUAAUAUAGCAGGUUUAAAAGAAAUAUUUCCAUAAAACCCACCAGUAUUCUGCAUGAUUACUGCAGUUAUAAGUGAUCGUUAACCUUUGCACAGCAUUUAAGAGCUUUAUUUAGUAAAAAUUAUACAACAGUGACAGAGCAGUAAACAUGAUACUGAUGUUCUGAGGCUGCACAUUAAGGCACGUACGCACAGCUGGGUAAAUCAUCAUCCAAAUGUUAUAAGCCUCAAGGAUUAUUUCAAACCAUUUCAAUGAGCAUUUGAAUGAAUGAGAAGAUGCAGUAUGUAUCCACUGAAAAUAUGGUUUUGGAGCAAGACAGUGUGACAGUGCAAAUCAGGAAAAAUAAAUCUCUGAAAGAAAAGGCUACUUCAUAUGUCAUAAAUCUCAUGUCUCUUAAUUAAGUUAUUAACUGUCAAUUCUGCAACCUGUAUUCAGCUGUGUUCAGCCAAUAUCCCCAAAAUAAGUUAAAUGCUCCUAAUACAUGUCUGUAAGAGGCUCAAUUAAAAAAUAAUAAUAAUAAUAAAAAAGGCAACCAAGAUUUCUUCCUUCCCCCAAAGAAAUAUAUUUAAAAGACAAAAGAUUUCUGCAAAAUGUCACUUUUUAUCUUAAAUUGCAAGUAAUUUGUUGCCCCCGCAAGCAGGAUCUGAGUGUAUUGCAGAGAAGUGGAGUAGUGCUGUGUUUCACUGCAUAAUAACCAUCCCUUAGACUAAGAGAGGAGCCACUGACAGCAGCUGGAAGGAAGCAGGCUCUCUGUGUGAUCUGCAGGCCUGAGGAAGGAAGGGCUUAAAUGAAAUAUUAACCACAAACAGGUCCUUGGUGUAUGUUUCACAAGGGAUGCAAAGUUCUUUGGCAACUGGAUACAUAAUAUCAUAGAAUGGCUUGGGUUGUAAGGGACCUCAAAGAUCACCUAGUUCCAAUCCCCCCGCUGAGGGCAGGGUUGCCAGCUACUAGAUCAAACUGCCCAGGAUCCCAUCCAACCUGGCCUUGAAUGCCUCCAGAGAUGGGGCAUGCACCACUUUUCUGGGCAGCCUGUGCCAGUGCCGCACAGCUGCAAAUGCUAUGGCCCCCAAAUGAAGAACUUCCAGUAUUGCUCUAAGGAUAUCUAUUCCUCUGACGACCAAGCAGAUCUAGACUAACCCUUAAAUGGCAGGGGAAAAGAAUAAAAUUAAAUGUAUAGACAGAAAAGACUCUAGGAAGCCUACUUCCAACGGUCCCAUUCACCUGUCACCAAGUUCUGGAGAAAUUUAAUCUUCAGCCCAAAUCCACAAUUCUUCUCAUCCGCCCAGGCUCCAUAUUGGCCAAAUCCAUGCAUUAGCCUGAUAGGGAUCUCUAAGAAGUGAGUCCUCUUGGCCCCAUGCCACAACACACCCCAUGCUCACGGACCACAAAGGAAAUCUCAGUGAAAAUACUAGCAUCCAACAGAAAGUAAAAGACAACAAAGUGAAAGUGCAUUUUACACAUUAACACGAACACAAAAAUAAACCAAAUUCAGUCCUGUCCUCUGCACACAAUUUCACAGAAGCAUAUCAAGGUUGUUUCAUGGCAGAGCUCUGGGUUCAGGCAGAGAAAAGGACUUGACUACUCUCCUUUUUUUUUUCCUUCUUUUCUUUUUUUUCUUCCAUAGAUGUGUGAAUCAAAAGAUUACAGAGGUUUCUUUCCUUGAGCCCAUCUCAAGGAAGGUGAAGGAGGUAAUGCCUCUUCCUUCAUUCACAUUUGAAAAGGAGGAGUAACAAAGGCUCAGGCUUUCAUUGAAAAGAUGCAGGCACCCAUCUCUCAAAUAACUCCAUGCCCUUGGCCUGAGGUGGAAAUUAUGCUGAAUAGAAAGUGGUAUGCAUGUUAAUUAUGAGUGUCUUCCUGCUGAGCUCGGUAGUUGAUCCUACUGUGAACUCUGCAGGCACUGUUUAGAGAGCCAAAACACCUGCCUUGGAUUUCUGAAUGCCAUACUGGGAACUAGCACCUAAAAUCCAGAGCAUACGUGUAAUGCAGUCCAUCCCUAACCAUGAGCCUACAUAAAAAUGUCUAUUGCCGUAUUUCCUAACAUCCGUGUUGUUUUAUGCCACUUUCAAAGAACGCUUUCAGAGCAUUGCAUCCCUGUUAAAUGCAGCUGUGCUGUUAGACUGCUCUACAGUGUCAGUAAACUACUCAAAACAGACACUUAAAGGACUGAGCUACUGAUGGACUGCCAAUCUUUUUACUAUUAGGGCUGAGAUACAGUGCUAGUUCAGAAGGCAAAGAAGCAGAGAACAGAAGUCAAAACCCAGCAAGACUGAGAGGCAGAGGUGAUUUCCUGACCAGUUCCUGCAUGUCACCAGGAUUUCUGCAUAACUCAGUGCACUGAGGAGUUACUUACACACUGCCUGACAGUCAAGUGACACAUAGGAAGCUUUGCAACAGUCAGUCAAUUGUCUGAACAACUCGAACAACGUGCCCUGGCCCCUCCUCCUGGAGGCAUCUUGCAGCAACAUCAAGGACCUGCACAGUCUUCUCUAUAGCAUAUGUUUACAGAGUUUGUGUGGAGGAAACUCCACUUGGUCAGCAUAUAUAACUCCCACAGGAUGCCAGCCACUGCUGGAACAGUGCAAAGAGAUGACAGCUGAGGGAACAAUCUUUCCUAUUAAGUUUUCCAAUUGUGGUUUUUUUUUGUUGUUGUUGUUUGUUUGUUUUUUGUUUUGUUUUGUUUUUUGUCAAUUACAGGUCCCUUGAAAGCAGAAGAAAGGAAAAGUGGAGAAAAGAAUAUUUCAGAAGUGGUCACAUUAUACAGGAAAGCUUACAGACACAGCUCAUGGAGUAAAUGUGUAGAUUUGCGCAUGUGCCAAAAGCUGCUGUCAUUUUUAACUACCACUGACAUGCUGAGGUCUUAAUGAGAUGAGAGGAAAAGAUCAGGAUGCUUCUGUAUCAGCAGGCAUAAAUCAGUGAUGCUUUGUUGCUAGCCAUACUUCAUUUACUUUCAGAAGCUGCUUAUAAUAAUAAUAAAAAACUCUAUGUAUUAACAGUUUAAAUAUCCUUCCUCUCCAUUUUACUAACAUAUAAAAGCCUUAUAUAGAAAGUUAUUGUGGUAAUAUUAAUUAAUACAGCCAGCAAUUGAUCAUUAAAGCAAUACUUAUCAGGAAAAUUGCUCAUGUUUCAGCUACAGGAUAAAGAGAAUUUUUUUUUCUACUUUCUCCAUUCCCACUUGAAUAGGCAGUUAGGCACAAAGAAUUGUAGUUUGAUAGCUGCUGGUAAUAUUAAAUCUCCUGUAUAUACAGCAGACAACAUGGCAUGCAUAGCUCCUUCUAUGUCUCCUCUAGGUGGCUGGCAUUCAUCAGACUGAACACUCCCCUAUUCUUCGUCAGCACUUCCCAUCUGUAAUCUUAGUUUGAAUGCUGCAAGGAAGAGCUCACAUGAAGACCCAGAAAGAGAGAAUUAAAAAGCUCGACCAGCACUCGAAGAACCUACACUAUCCUAUCCUAUGUAUAUAUAUCUAUAUAUCUAUAUAGGUAUCUAUAUAUCUAUAUAGAUAUCUAUAUCUAUAUGUAUAUAUCUAUAUACACUAUCCUAUGUAUAUAUACACUAUAUAUACACUAAAAGCGUGCCCUGUACACUGUCACCCUUUUAUAGUGAAGCAUGUCUUCCCUGUGUGUAGAAUGCACUGUGAUAAUACCCUGAAAUAGUGCAGUCUAUGCCCCACUAGAGAAGUAUUAAAUGCCACUGUCAAAAUGAAUUAUUCCCUCAUCUAGUUGAGCAAAAGCUGUGAUCAUCCUAUUCAGGUCUACACUGUGCUGUAGAGGAAUAAAAAUAGUGGUAAAUGCUAACAGAUAACACUGCUAGUGUAGACUCAUCUAUCUUGAAAAAACCUCCUUUUGUUCCAGCUUGAUAAAAAAAAAAUAUUAUCUAACCUUAACACAAAACUAAACUACAGGUAAAAAGGCAAAAUGUGUUGGGUAAAUUAACCUAAGUUAGGUAGGGGCUUUUACCUCUACAGUUAAGUCAGGUAUGGGCCAGGAUUUGUGCUAUGACUAAACUGGAAGAGGCAGGAGAGCUUCAAAGUGCAUGUUCUGACUCAUCAUAUUCCACGUGAAGGAAACUCAAGUUAUGUGCUCUCCCCUGCUUAGCUGGAAAGAAAAGUGGGCGUGUAGGCAAGAUGGGAGCUGUGGCAUGCUCAGUAAGGCUCUCAGUAGGAUGACUGGAGAUCUCAACCCAAUGGUUUCCCAUGAAUUGCUACUACAAGUCAUUCUCUCUGCACUUCUCACCAGUUAAGUAAGUAAAGUAGCAAAGAAAAAGCUGUCAUCCCAUUUAGGCUGCACUGAGAAUCCAUAUUUCAUCACUAGUGUUAUUUUGCAGACUUAAGUCAGUUGGGUGUCUACAAAUCAAGGUUUGUCAUUCUCUACUCAGUUGAAUUAAGUGAUUACCAAUAAUUCAUGUUCACUUGCAACUGCAGAUGCUAGCCUAACAAAUACUCCCAAACAUUUUUUCAAGUAUGUAAUCAUUUUUCUGCUAUUCUAGAGUCACAAAUAAGAAGCGUUUAUCAUUGCCUUACUUUAUAGUAUAAAAAAAUUGAAUGUGAGUCUACACAGCUCUAUUUGGGCUGGACAAAUUGCAGAUUUUAAGUGUGGGUUUGUUUGUUUUUUUUUUUGUUUUGUUUGAAAACAGUAUAGCAUGAAGGUAGACAUGCAUUUGAACAGUGUUAAUCUUUUGCAGACAAUGCUAAAUCGGGGGGAUCAGCUGACACAGCAAAUAGCAAUCCAGAGGCACCUUCAGACACCUGGACACCCAGAAGUCUCCUUCAGCAAAUCUCGAACACCUUCACUGUUUCUACUACAGGCUUCCUAACAGAGCAUCCAAGUAGGACAUCCUUAUUAUAGACAAUCACCCUUUUGUUCUACAGUGUUGGGCUCAGUCAUGGAUAAAAGAGGAUUCAUAUAGUUCAUGAUAGAAAUCACUAAGCAGUUUUCGCUUACUUCCCGUGUCCCUAUCUGGGUCAAAAGCAGCCUUCUGUCCGUUCACUUGUAAGUCCUGCAUGAGAAUCUAUUUUAAUGAAUGAGUGUUUAUAAAUCCCUCUUAAGAGGAAUCUUUUAAUGCUAGAGCUCAGGACUGUUAUUUUAUACCCUUGGUCAGUGCAUUUACCUUUUCUCUCUAAUGCAUGUAAGGUCAGAUCUCUUCAGACCUGUGUCUGAUCCCACGAUGCACUGGUGUGACUACAGCCUUUUGAGAAUGCAACUCCUAAUUCCCUGGUGCCACAAAUUCUUCAGCACACUGAACAUCUGCAGCUUUUUUUGGCUUCCACAGUUGUGAGUCACUGCGGCCCCCAAAACUCUAUGCAGAUCUCUAACCAUUAAUUCUACUAAACCAGGACAGGAAUCUAAAAACAAGACUUCUUCAAGGCAUCUCAGAUAUGAAGGCACUAUAGACAUCAUUUUAUUACCCAUCACUUUAUUGCCCAUUAUCCUACGGUCGUUUAUGCUCAGACAGGAUAUAAAAGCUACAAUUUAGGCCCAGUUACCAUUUAAAUCAAAUUUGCAGUCACUUUAUGCAUAAUACAGGGCAAUGGGAACUGAGGCCAUAAUCUGACUGCACAGAGGCUUCAGCGGCAAAGCUUGUUUCAAUGGAUUACCUUUUCCAAAUGCUCUGCAACCAGGUCAGUUAAAGCACUGCAACGCAACACCAUUUAAAUCUACAACACGCAUUCAAAAAUGUUAUUUGAUAGUUUGCUGCAUUAAACUUAAAGAUGUCAUGUCUCGGCACAGGAAAAAAAGCUUUAUUUUCAUUAAAUUAAUGCAAUUUUAUAAGUUCUGCAUUGGGCAUGCAGACCUUUCACAUCAGAGCAACCAGACUUUCUUGUCUCAUGUCUUUAGGUUACCCUUAGGUUGUGUAAGAUGAAGCAGCAGAAACGCCUCUAAUGAAAAGAUUCAAAUGAUAUGCUGACUUUGGGGACAAAUUAGUUCCACAGGUACAGAGUGGAAUAAUACUAAGCUCAUGUAAACAAGUGGGAUUUGCCUUCUAAACUUGGACUUGCAUCCUUAAGGUAUUAGAAAUGAACACUGAAGUUCAACACACGCUUUGUGAUCAAAGCAUAAGAAGUACAGAACCCGGUACUGUUACAUGAAUACAAUAACCACCUAUUCUGAAUGUUUUCUCUGAGUCCAACCAUUAAGUGCUUAAACAAAAAUUGCUGCUGUAUUUUCAUUCCAAACUGUUGACCAAAAUCAGAAGGGGCCUAUUUUGACACAGUGGCUGCUUUUGCAAGAAGAACAGGAGUCUGGGGAGAAAUAAUAGGGAAAUAUCAAGAGGGAACUUGCAAGAUUUCCCAAAUUUUCAAUUUUGAUACCUAAGCUUUGAUCUGAAACUUACAUCUCUGCAACCCCAAAUGCAGUCCAAACUUAAUCUGCAUGCAGGCUCCUCAGCAUGUUUCUGAUUGUAGGAAAUAUAUUUUCAGUAACGGGGAAAAAAAAUAUUAGUAGUCUCAUCUACUUAUUUUUAAGACAAAAAAAGGGUCCAAAAGAAAAGGCCGUUUUUCAAACAACUUGCCAAACCUGAAGUCAUUUUGUAAAAUGUGCCCAUUAAUCAGCUUUCUGAAAAAGUUCUCUGUGUACAGCCAAAGAUCUGUUUUGUUGAUGACCAUUUCUGAUUUUAGAAAAGCAAGCAGUUUAAAAGUUGCUGAAGUGUGCUGGCUUCUAACUGACACCUUGUUUGCUGCAAUGCCUGAGUGCGCUGAACUGUUCAGAAUCUGAGUGUGCUAAACGUAAUCCAGCAGCUCACAUCUGUUGCUUUUUAUCACACAGGCUAUCUAGUAUCAGAAAGACAACCUAAUAAACGUUUUGAAAAAGAAAACAACAACAAAAAGAAGAACAAAAAUAAAGUGCUGUAUUAUCUAGGGCAUUUUUUCCCCCAGCCAUCUGUUUUGAACUGGGUACAUGCACAGAACUCCAAUUUUACGUUCACAGGAGAACUCUUUCAGAGACUGUACGAGAAAUCUUAACUUCUGCCUUAUUCUUAACAGCCAGAAACAGAAACUGUGAUGCCUUCACUCUCCUUGUAAAAGGAGAAGUUAUAGCCUUCAUAAACAUAAACAAGCACUUCAGAUCAUUUCUGGGAUGAUGAUGCAUUCUGAGGAAGUGCACUGAAUCGUUUUUUUGUUCCUCCUACAGCAUUCUUGCCUGUGGAGCAGUGAUGGAAUUUGUACUGCAAUGGUUUAAAACACCACCACCACCACCAACAAAGAACAACUGAAUUUCCUCGGUUCCUGUCAGCCAUUCUUUAUGGGUCUCAAAGAAUCCUUCACUAAACCCCAUCCUCCACCUGAAGGUAAGUGAAUGGCAGUUAUCUGAUUUAUACAUUUGCCAAAUUCUACCGGGUGUCUGCUGAGCCCAUAAUCUUCUUGAACUCCAGCUUAAGAGCAGGCUGAGAUCACCAGGGUUUCUGCACAGCUUCAAAGCUCCCUAAAGCGGAACUGCGACUCUCAGACUGAACAAAUGUCACCAGGCUGUGUGCACAGCUUUGAAGCUCCUUGAACCAAAGCCAUUUGUUUCAGAGAGUUUACAAAUUCAGUUAGGCAUAUCUAGAGCACAUGAAAAUUCCAAGAUGUAUCAGCUAUUUUUUGGACUAAGUGGAACUUCAGUGAUCAAAAGUCUGUGUUAUUGGGUUUUUUUGUUUGUUUGUUUUUUUACAAUCAUCUUACUCUACCAAAACCAAUUCCAUCUGGUUGCUAUCAUUAAAAUUUGUAAACAGAAACAAGUUUCCAGACCGUAUUUAACAAGAAGAGGCCCUGUGAGAUUAUAUGUAGCAGCUUCACUGCAAGGACAAAAUCCCUUCGUAGGAAAAGCUCCUUGCCUAAUUAAGAUUCAAACAGUCAUUAAAAAAAUUUCACCAGCAGCUGGAGAAGGCACACAAGAUUUUAAUUUUCAGAAGUUUAUAUGUAGUUACUAAUCAAUUUUAAUCUGGAAGUGAGGUACUGUCUGAAACAUAACGCGUCCAACAGCAUAAAGACAGCUGGAAUAUUUCUCUUUAAAACACAGACCUGGGUGGACUUGUCAGCAGGCAAAAGUGGGUUUUCUCUUACGUAAGUAAUUAGGUCACCAAUUAAUGUCCUUAACACACAACCCGCAUCCUGCAACACAGUUAAGGACCAUGACCAACCUCCUGGUGCACACAUGGAACAUCAGAGCUUUCUCUCGUGUCAAAUGGUGACAACAUUAUUCUGUCCUUUAUUGAACAAAUGUUAGUUUAUGUUAAUCGCAUAUUUAUUUAUCUUUUACAUAUUCAUAAAUAAUUAAGUUCUCAGAACUUCCAGAAAUAGAUCAGCUUCACUUGAGGAAGGCAGAGAAUUAUAAUGAAUCUUCUCAAGGAUUGUCAGCUGCAGCCAGAAUGAAUUACAAAGAAAGAGGGUAAAAAUGCUCUGAUUUUAUCUACAUCUUUCAUUCCCUGGCUAUUUUCUCAAACUGGGAGUUGGGAGUGGAUCAGGAAUAGAGCUCCUAAUUUCCUUCUGCCAUUUCUGUUCUCUGUCGUUCCAUUCAUUUAUUCCUUACCCUGUCUUUCCUUUGCUUCUAGUAUUUCUCUCCCUCCACAUAUUUCCUUUAAGGGAUUUUUGUUCUUUCUAUUCUUGUCUUGGUAACUUUCUCAUUUUCAUUAUCAGUGUUUUGUUUCCUUCAGGUUUCAUCUGUUCUUUUGCCCUUUCUCUUCCCACUUUUAUUUUGACUACACAGCCAAAUGUUCCUUACAGACUUCUGAAGCUACCAUUGCAUAUUCCUUUCUUAGGAAACAUACUUUUGAAUGAAGCCUUUAACCUAAAGCAGGAGACAAAAUUGAUUGGUUUUCAUUUUAUGUAAUAACAAAAGAUCACAACCAUCGGCCUGAAAAUAGGAACAGUAUUUGUUAAGAUAGAGAAGUCAGAACUAACCUAACCUCUCUGGCUGCUUCAGAGGCACACUCUGAGGAACAUUAUUUGAGGAAGAAACAGAGCCAUAGCUUAAAAUCAGUUUCUUCUGCCUUUGUAUUUUCAAGACAAGGUUUUUGCCAAAUGCAGUCUUGUCUUUGGGAAACACUAAUACAUCUCACACUGGCUUAAACUGGUGUAUUGCUGCUGGGUAAAACUAACAUGCUAGCAUUAUACGAACCGCCACUGUUUUUGCAAGAGCUUUAAAAUAAUUAAAAAUUAUCUUUUUGUGCAAGAAAUAUAUCACUUUUACAAGCAAUCUAUGAAGGUGACUUGCAUCUCUUGUAAGAAAACUAGCAGAAUUGUUUUCAAAGAGGAUGACUUUUUCAUUCCUCUCCUAUGUAAGGCUAUUGAUUACUCACAAAAAAACCACACAGGCUUAUUCCCAUCUUCCCAAAAGUGGUAUUGCACACAGCCAUGCCUGAAUAUUCACUCCCUUCUGCCACCUUUACUGAGUGAGACAAUAUCAUGAACACAGGCGGUGGUUUGUGACAUUCUGAUCUGGAGCUCACAGCCACCAGGCUGGCCACAAAGCCUGACAUCUGCAGUAACUCUGUAUGAAAACUAGGAGAGGAAAUGUAGUGUCCUGGGAGGAGAAGGGCAACAUAAGCCUUUGUUCUGACAACUGUAACCAAAUGUACAGUAGCCAUUUACAUUAUAGCCUGUGUAUCUCCUGCAUCUCAUCACCAUGAUAUUAGUGCUAGGUAUUGUAAAGAGAACCUAAGAAGUUCCUCGACCUCCUCGUGCAACUGGCAGGUUGAUUUCAUGGUUUGUUGCCCAGCUAAGCACUCGGGUACAUGUUAAGCUUCAUCAGAACAGAGGCCACCUUCCAUUUCUUGCUAACACAACCGGUGCACUGAAAUGCAGGAAUGUUUUUCAUGAGCUUUCACUGGUACUGAUCAUAAUAUCUAUAUUUCAACCUGCAACUGAUACGUACCAUAAAAAUAAUUUUGUGUGUAAUCUGUAUUUCUGUUUGGUAUAUGAACUCUCACAGCUGAUGUUUCUCCAUCUUUUGGGGCCAGUGCAUUAGUGUUGAGUGGUCAAUGCAUAAUACUGAUUAAUCUUACAGAUUUGCGUUUGUGGAAUGACGACUGCCUGAAAACAGUAAAACCUGCCUGGCCACAGGGAGCUCAUGACAGAGCAUGCAGGUUGUGGUUUCGGAGGUUAAAAGACGAAAACUGACCAGAGAAAGGGGCUGUUCAUCAGGAAACUGAGGCAUGACGUCAGCAACUGAAAAGUAAAAACCUGUAAUUGUUCUUACAAAACAAGAGGCAUAGCACACGUUGUCUAAAGUACUCAGCGUUUUGCUACCAGGAGCACUUCAGCAACUUGUCUCACAAAGCCAAGAGAUGAAUGUUGUUGAAACUGUGCCAUUCUGUGUACAUGACUUCAAAAACUACAUAAGUACAAGCAACAGAAGUGACAAUCUGGGGAAGAACCGAUAUUAAUGAGAGGAACCCACAGUCCUCUAGGAGGAAAUGACUGCCAUGAGAAUGACUUCAGAGGAAUACACGCUUGGGGCUGAAGUGGCAGCAGAGAGAUUUCUAUUCAGCAAAGAUAAUGCGGAUCCAUAUAUGCACAAAUAUUUUUAGUGGCAGAAAUCUUUUGACUGGAAUUAAAAUAUACUUACUUAGCUUUCCAUUUUAUAUCACCAGUAUACAGAUCAGCUAAUACUAAGCCUGCCUUUUUGAACACAGAAUAAAGCAUAUGCUUAACUGUAAGGCAUUACCGCGCUCUGCUACAAAUGCCUGUUUGUUGAGCAUGAUUUAUGGAAUGUAGUGCAAGUCACAGGAAGAACAAAUUAAACACUGCAAAUAUUCAUCCCCACUCCAAUUCUAUGGAUUUGCAGCUGUUAUGCGACGCAGUACCCAAAAGAAUGCUAUAAGCAGAAUGGGGGAAGCUAUUGCAUUGAUUGUUUGAGCUUGAACGUGGAUCUUCAACAGCAGAAGGCAUAGUUAGCUGCUAGCCAAGGUGAAACUGAUUUCAGUCUUUGCUCUUUAGAGCAACAAGAGCUGCUGCAGAGGCUGUAGUCUGCCUGGAUUCUUAAGGGCAAGGGAGUCAGGCCCCAAUAUGCAAAGGAGUGGGGAAACAAAGGUUUCCCCUGUAUUUUCACAAGCAACCUCUGGUCAGCUAUGGGCAAUGACAGAUUCUAGAGAAAAAUCCAGUCUUCCUGAAAACAUUUGAAUGACUCUCACUUAUACAGCAAGCUGUUUUCAAACUUGUCUGCAGCUGAGAUGUAGUCUCACCUAAAACAGAGUGCUGCACUAAUUCUGCAUCAGCUUUUCUGAAGAGGUUUUAGCUAACGCUGUGAAGUUUUUUUUGGGGGGGAGCCAAAAUAGAGUUGGUCACAUCUGUACUUUGACCAGAAUACUCAGAUUAGCAGCCAGACUUUGUGAACAGAGACAGGAAAUAUAGUCUCAUUAAAUCCUGGUGUCUCGGUGCAUGAAAAGAGGCCUUUGCUACACUGUUGGAGUUGUUCCUUAUUCUGAGCAAACCUGACAGCUCUCCUUCAUGCCUGACCCUGGCAGCUUCUAUCUGCAACCGUUCUCCUGAAGUUCUCCAUCGCUUUAAAGGAAGCAAACAAGUAUUUAUCCCAUCCCACGGCCACGAAAACUGAGGCACUGCAAGUGCUUCUUCCCAUGGAAACUUCUAGUUGAAAGAUGUGCGUGAUCUGCAAAAAGAAACUAAACGGUGCAGCACCUGAGGCUGCAGGAAGUGCUGAUGUCAAAGCCCUGAGCCGAAGUCAGCCACUGCCAGCCCCUUGCCCUGCCCGCAAAGCACACGGAGCUCCUCGCCCCGGGGAUCCACGGCCCAGAGCGCAGUGCCACGCAGGCCGGCAGGGCCGCCCCUGCCCUGGCGCCCACACUGCAGCCAGCUGUGUGGGGAACCUGACGGUGGCUGCCGGGCGCCGUACUGUGCAAAGAGGAGGAGGUGGGGAAGCGAGGAGGAACCCAGCGAGCGCUCUGUAAAGGCGAUGAAACGCUGCGCUCCCUGGGUUCACGCGCGGUUCGCUGGAAGCUCCAUCCAAGCGGCGAUCGGUGCGAAACUACUUAAUUCACAACAUUAAGAGAGGGGGGGAAAAAAAAAAAGGCAGAGGUAACAUGGCUGCAUUCGGAGGCACGAGUAACGCUCUUCCUCACAGCCGGAGCAACACGAAGAUCCUUACGUCUUUCUCCAACAGCGGACAGGGACCGCAGCGCAACCUUCCCAACGCGUUACCCCGACCGCCUCCGUCACGCCAGCAGCGGUCGGCGAGAGGUCCCGGGGCCGCCUUACGUAACUCCGUGCCCCGAGCCGCCCUCAGCACGCGGGCAGGCGGCCCCCCUCGCCCUCCGCGUGCGGAUCGGGGCGGCCCGGCCUGCGCGGAGCCGGGGCGCCGCGGAAACUUUGCGCCGCGGGGGCCGCGCGCUCCGAGCCCCGCAGCCGGCGGGGAAGUUGCGCCGAGCUCGGGCGGCGGCCUCUGGGGGCAGAGGGGCGGCAGCGGGGGCUG
Long non-coding RNA from Gallus gallus (chicken), 16849 nucleotides. RefSeq lists it as uncharacterized. The transcript has 14 exons. The record is from RefSeq and is a predicted model, not a curated record. NCBI's taxonomy places the organism in Eukaryota, Metazoa, Chordata, Aves, Galliformes, Phasianidae.